CUUUAGAAUGGUUCGAAUCGUUUCUCUUAAAUGGUUCGAGUUCGCCUUUUUCUUGAACCCCAAACCCACUUUCUCUCGUUCAAUUUUUUUGUUUUAAAACACAAGCUUUCUCGGUGGAUUCUGGUUUUUCCCGCGAGAGCAAAUCUACAAAUUAGCUCAAAAUAGAUUAACAAUGAAGAAUCUGAAACCCUAAAAACGAAGAGAAGCUUAAAUUUGGUUACUGGAAUGAGGAACCACACUUAUGGAUAUCAGAUUCGACUAAUUAAACCGUGAUUUCUUCGACUAUCGGCAAAAAAAAUACUUGAAGACUUCAUUUCUUAUCUUGCCUUUGCUUCUCUGAGAACAUCUGGUAAUACUUUUUAAAAUUAUGUGUAUGAAUUAGGUUUUUUUUGCUUUCGAAAUGAUUUAGGGAGUUUUGAAGAACCACUAUGCGUUCUUAAAAAUUAUGUUAGGGAUGCAGUAGGGAAACAAGAGUCAUUGGAUCAAAUUCGUGUUCCGAUGAUUGAAAAUCUAUCGAUGUGGAAGGAUUCAAGACGAUCAAACCAGGUUUUUGAUACUUCUUAAUUGGUUAUUCCAAGAUGAACUUGUUUUUGAAGCUCUUGCAGUUGAUCUGGUUACCAUUAUCAAGAGAAAAAAUGAUCGCUGUAUCGCUCUUGGAUGGUGCACAUUGAUACGUGCACCUGUAGAACAUGGGAUAACUAAGAAGCAAUCUUCAGAUAUUGGGGGUGAAGCGACAGAAAUUAUUGAAGAUUUUUUCCUCUUCAAUUUCACAUGGUUCAUCUGUUGUUUGCAGUGGAAGCAAAUUGCAGGACGGAUUUGAAUUGCCUACUCGUCUUUCAGUAGCUGUUGCUGAUUGCAUUCUUGUCUGCAGAUAAAGAAAAAGUACUUGCUAUAUCAACAGCUACUGCUAGUAAUAAGAAGCCAGUGAAUUCAAUUUAUAGGCUUCAACAAGGCACUGAAAACGUGGAGAUGGAAUUGGUACUUUAGAUUCAUUUGGAUGAACUCGUUACUCUUGUGCUGAAACUCUUGGCUCGGAGCAGAAAAAGCCGGCCUUUACAUGCAAAAGGAUUGGAGCAAGUUUUACACUCUUGUUCCGGAGCAGG
This is a long non-coding RNA of Papaver somniferum (opium poppy), 1103 nucleotides long. RefSeq lists it as uncharacterized. NCBI's taxonomy places the organism in Eukaryota, Viridiplantae, Streptophyta, Magnoliopsida, Ranunculales, Papaveraceae. The record is from RefSeq and is a predicted model, not a curated record. The transcript has 5 exons.